Capsicum annuum is the source of this 1112-nucleotide long non-coding RNA. RefSeq lists it as uncharacterized. The transcript has 3 exons. NCBI's taxonomy places the organism in Eukaryota, Viridiplantae, Streptophyta, Magnoliopsida, Solanales, Solanaceae. The record is from RefSeq and is a predicted model, not a curated record.
UUUUCUUGAGAAAGGUAGCUGAAGGCCAUUUAAUUAUUGUGUUAUUGUUCAUCAAAUAUAAUUUUUGGUGUCAAUUAAUAUAGAGUACCAUCUUAUCACACAAUAAGGUGAAAGCCUUAUGAUAGGCGUUUCCAGUACUGUUGGAAGAGCUAAACGUCAUUAAAUCUUCAUGGAUGUCAAGAAAAUUAUUUUUCUUAUAUUUGGACUUUGAUUACUUCUCUUCUGAAUCGAGAGUUUAGAAACAACCUCCCUACUCCACAAAGGUAUAGAAUAUUGAGAAUAUAAGUAUGUUGAAUUGGUCCUAGAGGUAAACGUUCUGCUUGAUUAUUCACCCGCACAUGCUCUAACUAUCGGACAGUGAUGCAUGGCGGCUACAGCACAACCUAUGCCAUAUAGGUUUCAGAAUGGAGGAGAAGCAAAAAAUGACAAUGAAUUGUAAUUGAAUGAAGCAAAUGUGAUUGCAACAGAAAUGGAGAGCCGAGGGUGUUUCUAUGAUAAAAUCAGCUUUAGAAUUCUCUCGGGCAUUGCAUAAAAAAAGAAUGCUUGAAGCCAUGACCAUUUCUGAUAAGAUGUUGUCAUCGGGUUGUGUCCAAAUGAUAUCACACUAAGUUGUUUGACGUCAUGCCUUCUAAAAGUUGGGAUUGCAAAUAAAGCUUAUAAAGUAAGGCUUAUUUCAUCAUAGGAAUUGAAUUCUGAUUUAUCAUCUUCAAGGCAAUCUGUACCAUUCAGGACAAGUUUGGGCAUUCCACUGCGCUCACUCAAGGAAGAUGUGGAUCGUUGUUCCCUUCAAGUGCUUCACUAUUUAAGAAUACUGGAAGAUCACCUUAAAUUUUCUUAUUAGUAAAACAUACCGUUGAGAUGAACUACACUUACAUCACUUCUUUGAGAUGCAGAUAAUGGUAUAUUUGUUGCCAAAUGCAGUGGCUGUUGGUGGCUCCGUGUCAUGAUAGUAGUGGGGAAUCUUGGAAGUAAAGGAUACUCAUUGUUGUAGUAGGUGUCAUUUGGAGCAGACUUUGUAAAAUCGUGGGGCCUAAGCUGCGUCACAUCUAAUUUACAUAUUUAAGAUCCAUGACUUGUGUUCUUUAGUUAGUUUAUGUUUGUUUCCCUCAAAG